UUCGUUGUUUUUGAAGCCUGAC
Molecule: microRNA, 22 nt
Filed under: Heligmosomoides polygyrus
Lineage: Eukaryota; Metazoa; Nematoda; Chromadorea; Rhabditida; Heligmosomidae
Description: hpo-miR-76-3p
Gene: hpo-miR-76-3p
Source: miRBase by way of RNAcentral